AAAUGGGGACCGAGUUGGCGGUCACGUGAAUAGAAAAAAGAAUAUAUCACAGUUUUGGGCAAUUGCGCGUUCUACUCUUUUUUAUUUCUGUGGGUCGGCAACAUUCCAGUAUCUUCCAUUGAUUGUUUCACUUAAUGUUAUUUAUAUUACUGGGCGGGUUAUAGCAAUACCUAAAUUUUAUUGUGCGUCACAAUGUGUUUAUAUUUACAAUAUUAACGAUCCAGAAAAUUGGUUGACAAGGUUAUGUAAGUAUUUAUUAAUUUUGUUUAAUAUAUUUUAAGAAAUCGGCCUAGUUAGUUUGUUCCCCAAUUUCAAACCAAUUAUUAGCUCUAUGCUGCCAAAUGUGGUGCACGUACAAUUUACCCACAAUUCAGAUAUCUCGAAAAGGUUGUGUCAGUUUCUUCCAUUAUUUAAUCCAUUUUAAUCUGCUUUGGUUAUUUAUAUUACAGCACAUGUUGUGGAAAUAAUUAAAAUAUAUUGUAUUGUGCGUUAUAAUAUAUUUGUAGAUAUGAUAUAACUUACAAUCCAGAAGACUGUUUGGGAAAUUUCUAAUCUAGAUACGGCAUUAUCAAGAACAAAGGAUCAAAAUUCCAAUGGGGGAGCACGUAUUAAGCUAAUUAGCAUAGUACCCUAGCCUAUUUACUACGACGGUCGACUGAGCUCGAUCGAAAACAAACCAGAAGUAACAAACAAAGCGAGUUUCAAUCAUUAAUUAGACGUUUUUAUACCUUUAUGGUUUAUAAGCCUAAGCUUAGGCAGAAUUAAUAUAUCGAAUACACUCGAUUAAUCAAUGUACAUUUCAAUGCUAACAGCGGGCAAUUCUGCCAAGAACAGUUUACAUCGUGAAAUGAGGUUGGUAUUUACUACUCAGCACUGUAGAGAUUGAAUAUUGAACUUCGGAUUAUUCAAUGACCAUUAUUGGUUGUGUUUAUAGCGAGCAAACUCAAGAAAAACAUAGAAGCUGAAGAGGUGGUUUUCUACACAUAGCAACAAGGAAUCGAACAUGUGUUAGUUAUUUCUCAAAC
This is a non-coding RNA of Ciona intestinalis (vase tunicate), 1025 nucleotides long. The record is from RefSeq and is a predicted model, not a curated record. NCBI's taxonomy places the organism in Eukaryota, Metazoa, Chordata, Ascidiacea, Phlebobranchia, Cionidae.